GUGGGGAAUUUUGGACAAUGGGCGCAAGCCUGAUCCAGCAAUGCCGCGUGCAGGAAGAAGGCCUUCGGGUUGUAAACUGCUUUUGUACGGAACGAAACGGUCCUGGCUAAUACCCGGGGCUAAUGACGGUACCGUAAGAAUAAGCACCGGCUAACUACGUGCCGGCAGCCGCGGUAAUACGUAGGGUGCGAGCGUUAAUCGGAAUUACUGGGCGUAAAGCGUGCGCAGGCGGUGCUGUAAGACAGGCGUGAAAUCCCCGGGCUCAACCUGGGAAUUGCGCUUGUGACUGCAGUGCUGGAGUGCGGCAGAGGGGGAUGGAAUUCCGCGUGUAGCAGUGAAAUGCGUAGAUAUGCGGAGGAACACCGAUGGCGAAGGCAAUCCCCUGGGCCUGCACUGACGCUCAUGCACGAAAGCGUGGGGAGCAAACAGGAUUAGAUACCCCAGUAGUCC
This 450-nucleotide ribosomal RNA is filed under the name uncultured bacterium. RNAcentral describes it as "partial 16S ribosomal RNA". It matches the Rfam family "Bacterial small subunit ribosomal RNA", at positions 354 to 796 of the family's 1533-position model. The record is from RNAcentral.